RNAcentral lists this ribosomal RNA (1414 nucleotides) under Lactococcus lactis subsp. lactis. RNAcentral's name for it is "16S ribosomal RNA". It matches the Rfam family "Bacterial small subunit ribosomal RNA". The record is from RNAcentral. Lineage: Bacteria; Bacillati; Bacillota; Bacilli; Lactobacillales; Streptococcaceae.
GAACGCUGGCGGCGUGCCUAAUACAUGCAAGUUGAGCGCUGAAGGUUGGUACUUGUACCGACUGGAUAAGCAGCGAACGGGUGAGUAACGCGUGGGGAAUCUGCCUAUGAGCGGGGGACAACAUUUGGAAACGAAUGCUAAUACCGCAUAAAAACUUUAAACACAAGUUUUAAGUUUGAAAGAUGCAAUUGCAUCACUCAAAGAUGGAUCCCGCGUUGUAUUAGCUAGUUGGUGAGGUAAAGGCUCACCAAGGCGAUGAUACAUAGCCGACCUGAGAGGGUGAUCGGCCACAUUGGGACUGAGACACGGCCCAAACUCCUACGGGAGGCAGCAGUAGGGAAUCUUCGGCAAUGGACGAAACCCUGACCGAGCAACGCCGCGUGAGUGAAGAAGGUUUUCGGAUCGUAAAACUCUGUUGGUAGAGAAGAACGUUGGUGAGAGUGGAAAGCUCAUCAAGUGACGGUAACUACCCAGAAAGGGACGGCUAACUACGUGCCAGCAGCCGCGGUAAUACGUAGGUCCCGAGCGUUGUCCGGAUUUAUUGGGCGUAAAGCGAGCGCAGGUGGUUUAUUAAGUCUGGUGUAAAAGGCAGUGGCUCAACCAUUGUAUGCAUUGGAAACUGGUAGACUUGAGUGCAGAAGAGGAGAGUGGAAUUCCAUGUGUAGCGGUGAAAUGCGUAGAUAUAUGGAGGAACACCGGUGGCGAAAGCGGCUCUCUGGCCUGUAACUGACACUGAGGCUCGAAAGCGUGGGGAGCAAACAGGAUUAGAUACCCUGGUAGUCCACGCCGUAAACGAUGAGUGCUAGAUGUAGGGAGCUAUAAGUUCUCUGUAUCGCAGCUAACGCAAUAAGCACUCCGCCUGGGGAGUACGACCGCAAGGUUGAAACUCAAAGGAAUUGACGGGGGCCCGCACAAGCGGUGGAGCAUGUGGUUUAAUUCGAAGCAACGCGAAGAACCUUACCAGGUCUUGACAUACUCGUGCUAUUCCUAGAGAUAGGAAGUUCCUUCGGGACACGGGAUACAGGUGGUGCAUGGUGGUCGUCAGCUCGUGUCGUGAGAUGUUGGGUUAAGUCCCGCAACGAGCGCAACCCCUAUUGUUAGUUGCCAUCAUUAAGUUGGCCACUCUAACGAGACUGCCGGUGAUAAACCGGAAGAAGGUGGGGAUGACGUCAAAUCAUCAUCCCCCUUAUGACCUGGGCUACACACGUGCUACAAUGGAUGGUACAACGAGUCGCGAGACAGUGAUGUUUAGCUAAUCUCUUAAAACCAUUCUCAGUUCGGAUUGUAAGCUGCAACUCGCCUACAUGAAGUCGGAAUCGCUAGUAAUCGCGGAUCAGCACGCCGCGGUUGAAUACGUUCCCGGCCCUUGUACACACCGCCCGUCACACCACGGGAGAUUGGGAGUACCCGAAGU